ACAGCAGCAGCCACGGGAAUACGUAGGUGGCAAGCGUUGUCCGGAAUUAUUGGGCGUAAGGGCUCGCAGGCGGUUUCUUAAGUCUGAUGUGAAAGCCCCCGGCUCAACCGGGGAGGGUCAUUGGAAACUGGGAAACUUGAGUGCAGAAGAGGAGAGUGGAAUUCCACGUGUAGCGGUGAAAUGCGUAGAGAUGUGGAGGAACACCAGUGGCGAAGGCGACUCUCUGGUCUGUAACUGACGCUGAGGAGCGAAAGCGUGGGGAGCGAACAGGAUUAGAUACCCCUGUAGUCCCUGUCUCUUAUACC
Molecule: ribosomal RNA, 305 nt
Filed under: uncultured bacterium
Lineage: Bacteria
Description: partial 16S ribosomal RNA
Rfam family: Bacterial small subunit ribosomal RNA
Source: RNAcentral